GUCCACGCAGUAAACGAUGCAUACUAGCUGUUGGCGGUAUAAACUCCGUCGGUAGCGCAGCUAACGCGUUAAGUAUGCCGCCUGGGGAGUACGGCCGCAAGGUUGAAACUCAAAGGAAUUGACGGGGGCCCGCACAAGCGGUGGAGUAUGUGGUUUAAUUCGACGCAACGCGCAGAACCUUACCCAGCCUUGACAUCCAAGGAACCUGCUAGAAAUAGUGGGGUGCCCGAGCAAUCGGGAGCCUUGAGACAGGUGCUGCAUGGCUGUCGU
This 270-nucleotide ribosomal RNA is filed under the name uncultured bacterium. RNAcentral describes it as "partial 16S ribosomal RNA". It matches the Rfam family "Bacterial small subunit ribosomal RNA", at positions 793 to 1055 of the family's 1533-position model. The record is from RNAcentral.